AAAAAAAAAGUGCUUAGUUUCGUUGGAAAAACCAACGCACAUCAUAUUGACUUUCUCUCGCCCUACUUCUAAAGUAAAGAUAGAUAGAAAGGGUUGGAGAGAAUGACUUUCUGAAAUUCUCUCCUUUCUAAAGCUGCGCAAGGUGGCCCCCCCAGAACAAAACCCCACCCUUUCCCCCUUUAAUGAAAGACCCUCGCCCCGCUUCCUAUUCAUUUGUGGGUCGGGACCCGAGGGCCUUUUUUUUUCUCAACAGGUGAUUU
This 260-nucleotide unclassified non-coding RNA is filed under the name Hevea brasiliensis (rubber tree). The record is from RNAcentral. Lineage: Eukaryota; Viridiplantae; Streptophyta; Magnoliopsida; Malpighiales; Euphorbiaceae.